This 73-nucleotide transfer RNA is filed under the name Camelus bactrianus (Bactrian camel). It matches the Rfam family "tRNA". From Rfam's summary of the family: Transfer RNA (tRNA) molecules are approximately 80 nucleotides in length. Their secondary structure includes four short double-helical elements and three loops (D, anti-codon, and T loops). Further hydrogen bonds mediate the characteristic L-shaped molecular structure. tRNAs have two regions of fundamental functional importance: the anti-codon, which is responsible for specific mRNA codon recognition, and the 3' end, to which the tRNAs corresponding amino acid is attached (by aminoacyl-tRNA synthetases). tRNAs cope with the degeneracy of the genetic code in two manners: having more than one tRNA (with a specific anti-codon) for a particular amino acid; and 'wobble' base-pairing, i.e. permitting non-standard base-pairing at the 3rd anti-codon position. The record is from Rfam by way of RNAcentral. RNAcentral also lists the same sequence under 2 other names. Lineage: Eukaryota; Metazoa; Chordata; Mammalia; Artiodactyla; Camelidae.
GAGGGUAUAGUUCAAUCGGUAGAGUGUGUGCUUAGCAUGCAUGAGGUUCUGGGUUCAAUCCCCAGCACUUCCA